This 264-nucleotide unclassified non-coding RNA is filed under the name Hevea brasiliensis (rubber tree). The record is from RNAcentral. Lineage: Eukaryota; Viridiplantae; Streptophyta; Magnoliopsida; Malpighiales; Euphorbiaceae.
CAAGACGGCUGUGAAGAGUAUGUGUGUGAAAAAAUAUCAAAAUCUCUCUGUUUUUCGAUUCCCCCUUUUGUGCUUUCUGUUGCUUCUAUUUAUAUUGAAUGAUCUAGGGUUAGAUUUUUAGAGUUCCCAAGGCAUCAGGAGUCUCUUCUCUUUGCAGAAACUGGAGCUGGAACCCUAAUAAGGAAACUGGUUGUCGGCUGAUACACGACUCGUGCGUCACUACACAGCCCUGGGCUGUGUAACUUACUGGAGCUUGAAUGGUUG